RNAcentral lists this long non-coding RNA (365 nucleotides) under Mus spicilegus (steppe mouse). RNAcentral's name for it is "lncRNA (ENSMSIG00000028331.1)". The record is from RNAcentral. Lineage: Eukaryota; Metazoa; Chordata; Mammalia; Rodentia; Muridae.
CUAGAGUGUCCAGCCCGUUGGCUACCUGAUUAUAUGACAUCUGCGCUCAGAACCAUCUAUUCCUGCUCUCCUGGUCUUCUAGCUUGCAGGCUUCUCAGCCUCUGAGUCAAAAGGAGGACCCAGGGCCAAGUCUCAGAGUGGACUGCACGGGCAAUUGUAAGCCAUCAUGACAGUAUGACCCAAGGAUAGACAAAGUCCAGCCCGUGUGCCUGCCUACCCAGGAGCAGCCAGCAGGAGACAAAGCUCCCCUGUCCUGUCCUGUGAUGUCUGUGUCCCACAGUUUUGUGUUCAGCAUUACGUCUUCACUGUUGGGAUCCCCGACGGGAGCCUGAAGAAGUCACCGAACUGAGAGAAGCCAGCACAGC